RNAcentral lists this ribosomal RNA (385 nucleotides) under uncultured bacterium. RNAcentral describes it as "bacterial SSU rRNA". It matches the Rfam family "Bacterial small subunit ribosomal RNA", at positions 32 to 409 of the family's 1533-position model. The record is from RNAcentral.
AAUCAACGCUGGCGGCGUGCCUCAGACAUGCAAGUCGAACGAUUAAAGCUCUCUUCGGAGAGUGUAUAGAGUGGCGCACGGGUGAGUAACACGUAAGUAAUCUACCCUCGGGUGGGAAUAACAUCGGGAAACCGAUGCUAAUACCGCAUAAUGCAGCGGCUCCUAAUGGAGACAGUUGUUAAAGGAUUUAUUCGCCUGGGGAGGAGCUUGCGGCAGAUUAGCAGUUGGUAAGGUAAUGGCUUACCAAGGCUACGAUCUGUAGCCGGUCUAAGAGGACGGUCGGUCACACUGACACUGAAUAACGGGUCAGACUCCUACGGGAGGCAGCAGUCGGGAAUUUUGGGCAAUGGGCGAAAGCCUGACCCAGCAACGCCGCGUGAAGGAU